AACGAACGCUGGCGGCAUGCCUAACACAUGCAAGUCGAACGAAGGCUUCGGCCUUAGUGGCGCACGGGUGCGUAACGCGUGGGAAUCUGCCCUUAGGUUCGGAAUAACAGUUGGAAACGACUGCUAAUACCGGAUGAUGACGAAAGUCCAAAGAUUUAUCGCCUGAGGAUGAGCCCGCGUAGGAUUAGCUAGUUGGUGUGGUAAGAGCGCACCAAGGCGACGAUCCUUAGCUGGUCUGAGAGGAUGGUCAGCCACACUGGGACUGAGACACGGCCCAGACUCCUACGGGAGGAAGCAGUGGGGUAUAUUGGACAAUGGGCGAAAGCCUGAUCCAGCAAUGCCGCGUGAGUGAUGAAGGCCCUAGGGUUGUAAAGCUCUUUUACCCGGGAUGAUAAUGACAGUACCGGGAGAAUAAGCCCCGGCUAACUCCGUGCCAGCCGCCGCCGUAA
This 449-nucleotide ribosomal RNA is filed under the name uncultured bacterium. RNAcentral's name for it is "partial 16S ribosomal RNA". It matches the Rfam family "Bacterial small subunit ribosomal RNA", at positions 29 to 523 of the family's 1533-position model. The record is from RNAcentral.